RNAcentral lists this transfer-messenger RNA (354 nucleotides) under Deltaproteobacteria bacterium. It matches the Rfam family "transfer-messenger RNA". From Rfam's summary of the family: Bacterial tmRNA, also known as 10Sa RNA or SsrA, is named for its dual tRNA and mRNA-like properties. Its role is to liberate the mRNA from a stalled ribosome. Lineage: Bacteria; Pseudomonadati; Myxococcota; Myxococcia. The record is from RNAcentral.
GGGGGCGAAUCAGCUUCGACGGAGAAAUCGAAACAAUUUUUGCACGCCGACCACGUCAGCACGUCGUUAAAAGGAUGGCAAUUGUCUAACUGGCAAUGAAAACCUACAAAUGGCUGCCUAAUUAAUUAGAGCAGUCACGUUGACUCUUCCGAUGCGCGCUAGGGGAGAAGACGUCAUUCAGCGGGCUAGUGACUCUGGUUCUUCCGGGAUCAGGGAGCGAAUCUUCACCGGAACGGUUCCUUAUAAAUCGUGUCUUUCGGAGUUUAAAGGAACUUACGCAAAAGAAAGACUAAGCGUGUAGAUAAAAUUGUGUAGACUCUUCGGACGCGGGGGCAGUACCCGCCGCCUCCACAU